UAUAAGAGAAAAUAUUCCCCCCGUAACAUCUUUUUGUUUCGUCACUUCCCACCAUAUCUGAAAGGUUGAAAGAGAAGGGUUCGAGAGGCCCUAAAGAAAAUUGCUUCCAACAUUGUUUAUAAGAUACAAUUGGUUCGAGCAUUUUGAAAUGGCAAACCAGCGUUGACUUCAGAAUGCUUUCCGCUAUCAAAUAUUUUCUAAAGGAUGUUUUGGGGAGUGGAAAAGAUUAGCUUCGAGCAAAAGGAUACAACUGCAUGGGAUCUGCAAUGAAGAGUGUAAAAGCUGGGCCAUUUACCAGUCUCGGAAGGCAAAGCUAUUGAAGAGAACAAAGAAAAUACAAAUAGAGAACUUAAGGUGCAGAAACCUUCAAAAGAACUCACAUGCUACAUAGAUUAAUGGGGAGGUCAAGGUUACAAAAUGAGUCACAAAAUCAGAAGAGUAUUUGAAGGGUGUUAAACCCGCCAUGUAUUAGAAAAUAAAUCUGUAGCUAAGGGGAGUAAAUGGGGGUUUUUUAGUAGAUGCUUGUUUCAAUUGUUUAAUGUGUUUAAAACAUUUUCAUGAUACAUACAUUCAAAUUUGUUAAGUUCAUUUCUAGGACGCACGUUUGAGCAAUUUUCUCAUAGUUAAUGUAGUACAUGAUAUAUCUAUAUACUUUGGAAGUUCAUAGCAAGUGUACUCGUUUGAAUUUUUUUUGUUAUUUGUAGUGCUUGAGAACUUCAU
This is a long non-coding RNA of Nicotiana attenuata, 720 nucleotides long. RefSeq lists it as uncharacterized. The record is from RefSeq and is a predicted model, not a curated record. NCBI's taxonomy places the organism in Eukaryota, Viridiplantae, Streptophyta, Magnoliopsida, Solanales, Solanaceae. The transcript has 3 exons.